Molecule: small RNA, 80 nt
Filed under: Flavobacterium noncentrifugens
Lineage: Bacteria; Pseudomonadati; Bacteroidota; Flavobacteriia; Flavobacteriales; Flavobacteriaceae
Description: Flavo-1 RNA
Rfam family: Flavo-1 RNA
Source: Rfam by way of RNAcentral
UUUUAGCCCUGAUGGAAGCGGCAUCCUUUUUUGCCGGAGGAACGAAGGCAGAAAAGAUACAGUGGACAGCAGGAACAGCU